GCGGAUGUGUCGGAACUGGCAGACGAGCCGGUCUUAGAAACCGGUGCUUAUGCGUGCAGGUUCAAGUCCUGUCAUCCGCACCA
This 83-nucleotide transfer RNA is filed under the name Clostridia bacterium. Its description in RNAcentral is "tRNA-Leu". It matches the Rfam family "tRNA". From Rfam's summary of the family: Transfer RNA (tRNA) molecules are approximately 80 nucleotides in length. The record is from RNAcentral. Lineage: Bacteria; Bacillati; Bacillota; Clostridia.